This 406-nucleotide ribosomal RNA is filed under the name uncultured bacterium. Its description in RNAcentral is "partial 16S ribosomal RNA". It matches the Rfam family "Bacterial small subunit ribosomal RNA", at positions 30 to 526 of the family's 1533-position model. The record is from RNAcentral.
AUUGAACGCUGGCGGCAGGCCUAACACAUGCAAGUCGAGCGAGCGGCGGACGGGUGAGUAAUGUCUGGGAAACUGCCUGAUGGAGGGGGAUAACUACUGGAAACGGUAGCUAAUACCGCAUACCAUCAGAUGUGCCCAGAUGGGAUUAGCUAGUGGGUGGGGUAACGCCUCACCUAGGCGACGAUCCCUAGCUGGUCUGAGAGGAUGACCGGCCACACGGGAACUGAGACACGGUCCAUACUCCUACGGGAGGCAGCAGUGGGGAAUAUUGCACAAUGGGCGCAAGCCUGAUGCAGCCAUGCCGCGUGUGUGAAGAAGGCCUUCGGGUUGUAAAGCUCUUUCAGCGGGGAGGCGUUACCCAAAGAAGAAGCACCGGCUAACUCCGUGCCAGCAGCCGCGGUAAUAC